GAUUUCGUAGCUCAAAUGGCUAGAGUAUCGGUUUCAUACGCCGCAGGUUGAAGGUUCGAAUCCUUCCGAAAUUA
Molecule: transfer RNA, 74 nt
Filed under: Chryseobacterium defluvii
Lineage: Bacteria; Pseudomonadati; Bacteroidota; Flavobacteriia; Flavobacteriales; Weeksellaceae
Description: tRNA-Met
Rfam family: tRNA
About the family: Transfer RNA (tRNA) molecules are approximately 80 nucleotides in length. Their secondary structure includes four short double-helical elements and three loops (D, anti-codon, and T loops).
Source: RNAcentral